GAGCUCCAUCAUUAGCUCACCGAAUAAAGCAGCCUCGAGACGCCAAAGGGCGCAUAUCUCACCAUGAAAGCUCCGGAAAGCACAAGGGGGCGGGCGAGACCUUCCCCCCAACCUUAGUGACAGACUUUACUUCCCACGUCCGAGCCCCACAAGCCGCUCGAACUCGGAAGUCGGGGGGUAGUGUUGGGGGGAAUAAAGUUUCCCCCCAAAUGACAUAAAUGCCCCUAAGAAGCCG
RNAcentral lists this long non-coding RNA (235 nucleotides) under Phoenix dactylifera (date palm). RNAcentral's name for it is "long non-coding RNA (PDAC_LNC012834)". Lineage: Eukaryota; Viridiplantae; Streptophyta; Magnoliopsida; Arecales; Arecaceae. The record is from RNAcentral.